GACGUAGGGUGCAAGCGUUGUCCGGAUUUAUUGGGCGUAAAGAGCUCGUAGGCGGUCUGUCGCGUCGGCUGUGAAAACCCGGAGCUCAACUCCGGGCCUGCAGUCGAUACGGGCAGACUGGAGUACUGCAGGGGAGACUGGAAUUCCUGGUGUAGCGGUGAAAUGCGCAGAUAUCAGGAGGAACACCGGUGGCGAAGGCGGGUCUCUGGGCAGUUACUGACGCUGAGGAGCGAAAGCGUGGGGAGCGAACAGG
Molecule: ribosomal RNA, 253 nt
Filed under: uncultured bacterium
Lineage: Bacteria
Description: partial 16S ribosomal RNA
Rfam family: Bacterial small subunit ribosomal RNA
Source: RNAcentral